GAUGAACGCUGGCGGCGUGCCUAAUACAUGCAAGUCGAGCGAACGGACGAGAAGCUUGCUUCUCGGAUGUUAGCGGCGGACGGGUGAGUAACACGUGGAUAACCUACCUAUAAGACUGGGAUAACUUCGGGAAACCGGAGCUAACACCGGAGAAUAUUUUGAACCGCAUGGGUCAAAAGUGAAAGACGGUCGUGCGGUCACUUAUAGAUGGAUCCGCGCUGCAUUAGCUAGUUGGUAAGGUAACGGCUUACCAAGGCAACGAUGCAUAGCCGACCUGAGAGGGUGAUAGGCCACACUGGAACUGAGACACGGUCCAGAGUCCUACGGGAGGCAGCAGUAGGGAAUCUUCCGCAAUGGGCGAAAGCCUGACGGAGCAACGCCGAGUGAGUGAUGAAGGUCUUCGGAUCGUAAAACUCUAUUAUUAGGGAAGAACAUAUGUGUAAGUAACUGUGCCCAUCUUGACGGUACCUAAUCAGAAAGCCCCGGCUAACUACGUG
This 497-nucleotide ribosomal RNA is filed under the name uncultured bacterium. RNAcentral describes it as "partial 16S ribosomal RNA". It matches the Rfam family "Bacterial small subunit ribosomal RNA", at positions 28 to 507 of the family's 1533-position model. The record is from RNAcentral.